Non-coding RNA from Euleptes europaea (tarantolino), 72 nucleotides. Lineage: Eukaryota; Metazoa; Chordata; Lepidosauria; Squamata; Sphaerodactylidae. The record is from the annotation of a RefSeq genome assembly.
GGGGCUGUAGCUCAGUGAUAGAGCAUCUGCUCAGUAUGCAGAGGGUUCCAGGUUCAAUCCCUGGCAUCCCCA